GCCCAUUAAAUUUACGUUAUCUAAUUUUUUUUUUUAAAGCAUAGAAGUUAGAACACAACAGUUGUUAUUUUUGACCUGGAUCGUAUACGAUUACAAUGAAAUAAAUGUUAUUAUUAUUUUUUUUUGAAGAAUUGCAUUUACCUUUUUUGUCGAAGGAUAAUUGUAUUGCAAAAUUCUCUUUAAGUUUUGAGAAAGCGUUUAAUCUUUCGGGUUGGAUUUACAAUUUAUUUACAAAAGGAUCGGACUUCAAUGAGAAUUAUGCAUUGGAGAAAACGUGUGAACCAAAUUG
Molecule: long non-coding RNA, 289 nt
Filed under: Capsella rubella
Lineage: Eukaryota; Viridiplantae; Streptophyta; Magnoliopsida; Brassicales; Brassicaceae
Description: long non-coding RNA (CRUB_LNC001897)
Source: RNAcentral